Molecule: ribosomal RNA, 464 nt
Filed under: uncultured bacterium
Lineage: Bacteria
Description: bacterial SSU rRNA
Rfam family: Bacterial small subunit ribosomal RNA
Source: RNAcentral
UCCAGACUCCUACGGGAGGCAGCAGUGAGGAAUAUUGGUCAAUGGCCGGAAGGCUGAACCAGCCAAGUCGCGUGAGGGAAUAAGGCCCUAUGGGUCGUAAACCUCUUUUGUCGGGGAGCAAAAGCCGGACGUGUCCGGCUGUGAGAGUACCCGAAGAAAAAGCAUCGGCUAACUCCGUGCCAGCAGCCGCGGUAAUACGGAGGAUCCGAGCGUUAUCCGGAUUUAUUGGGUUUAAAGGGAGCGUAGGUGGAUUGUUAAGUCAGUUGUGAAAGUUUGCGGCUCAACCGUAAAAUUGCAGUUGAAACUGGCAGUCUUGAGUACAGUAGAGGUGGGCGGAAUUCGUGGUGUAGCGGUGAAAUGCUUAGAUAUCACGAAGAACUCCGAUUGCGAAGCCAGCUCACUGGACUGCAACUGACACUGAGGCUCGAAAGUGUGGGUAUCGAACAGGAUUAGAUACCCGCGUA